Molecule: ribosomal RNA, 301 nt
Filed under: uncultured bacterium
Lineage: Bacteria
Description: partial 16S ribosomal RNA
Rfam family: Bacterial small subunit ribosomal RNA
Source: RNAcentral
CAGUCGCCACGGUAAAACGGAGGGGGCUAGCGUUGUUCGGAAUUACUGGGCGUAAAGCGCACGUAGGCGGCUUGGUAAGUUAGAGGUGAAAGCCUGGAGCUCAACUCCAGAAUUGCCUUUAAGACUGCCGAGCUAGCAGGUGAGAGAGGUAAGUGGAAUUCCGAGUGUAGAGGUGAAAUUCGUAGAUAUUCGGAAGAACACCAGUGGCGAAGGCGGCUUACUGGCUCAUACUGGACGCUGAGGUGCGAAAGCGUGGGGAGCAAACAGGAUUAGAGACCCCCGUAGUCCCUGUCUCUUAUAC